AUAUAAGCUGAACGGAGCAGCCACUUGACCUCCUGUGAGCGGUCACAGAAUAUUUUAGUUACAAGUGCUAUCAGGGUAGUUGUGAUCUCCCUUAUCGCACUUUAGAAUGUUUUCACAGUUUAGGGAUAAACAAGUCACUCCGUGGGUUAUUCGAAAUAAGAUAAUGACUUUAAAUAUAAGAUUUUAUGAGUUCUGUGCAUGUCACUUGUCAAUCGAGCCAGAGCCAUAAAUUACGAUCUGUUACUUAAAAUCCAAGGGAACAUUUGUUUGCACUUGUAAUCUGUACGUGCAGGCCAUUUGAGCCUCUAAAUAUUAUCACUUGAAAUGUUUCCCACACUACACAAAGGACUUGGGCGGGGGUCAAAAUAUAGCUCUCCCGCUCAGGGCAAAACAGAUGCGGUCUCUGCGUAGGCCAUAGAUAAGAAUAGAAUACGAAACACACCAAUUUUACUUGCUAAGAAACAUAUUGAAAUAAAAACAGUUUGAAAUGAUAACUCAACAAAUGUAGACGUCUUUCAUUAGAUCGCUCUUACACCCGGGUUACCUAAUCCUGAGCAGCUCCACGGGAAAAUAAAGGAAGUGGAUUAGGGUAAGUACAAUUAAGCAAUUUCAACAUAUAGUUAAAUUUCGCGACCCAAAUCAAAUUUAGUUGGACAUGCGGCAAAAAAGGGGAUGUACGGUUUUAAUUUCGAGUUAGCUAUACAGUGAUACCGAUGAAAAGCUAAAGGUGCCUGUUGGCCAAGAACAUCUGCGAGGGAUCAUUUGGACGCGACGCAGAGGCAGGACGUCAGUUGUCGAAAACAGCCCUGAUGCAUUGCGUCGAUGGCCGGAAUAGGCCUGGAUGCGGUGCGUCAACGGGUGGAAGUGCACCGGGAGUAGUGCGUCAGCAGAGUGUCGGUAGCCGCAGGAGCUAGCUAGUUGCUCGGCGCAGGUAUUCGUUCCCGGAACGGACUCACCGAGGGACUGUUGCUGCGAUUCGUUUGUUUAUGCGAGUUCGUCGCUACUGAGACGAAAACCUGACCUACGAAACUGUCGUUCUGGAUCAGUGGACGUACCCAAGGCCAUCUCAGCAAAACCCUAGAGCAAACCGGGCUUUUUUAAAUUGUCUAAAGGCAAUUUUAGUUUUUUUUUAAGAAUUUUACAAAAAUGUGACAAAAUACAGAAGUUAUCUAAUUUGUAAACAAGACUACAAA
This is a long non-coding RNA of Drosophila elegans, 1193 nucleotides long. RefSeq lists it as uncharacterized. NCBI's taxonomy places the organism in Eukaryota, Metazoa, Arthropoda, Insecta, Diptera, Drosophilidae. The transcript is spliced from 3 exons. The record is from RefSeq and is a predicted model, not a curated record.